RNAcentral lists this long non-coding RNA (3306 nucleotides) under Mytilus galloprovincialis (Mediterranean mussel). Lineage: Eukaryota; Metazoa; Mollusca; Bivalvia; Mytilida; Mytilidae. The record is from RNAcentral.
CUUCCGGUAUCGGUUUGUUGACGUUUUAUGUUUUGCAGAUUCAGAAUCAUCAUCCAAAUUCAUCGAAGUCAAUUCGAAACUUUAGCAGAUUUUAACAAAAAAUUAUGUAUCCUUAUCUACAAAUUCAUAUUUUGGUUCAUGUUUUACAGAUUACAAAGUUGAUCAUGACUAAGAAAAUCAAAUAAGCCGACUCCGAUGGCAAAAGUUGUCGGUGCAAGUUGUCAACCCUAUCAAAUUACGAUAGGGCUUUAAACGGUCUCCCUUUUCUCCACAAAGGGUUAUAACUACCCCCAAUUGUUUGAAGUUGAUCAACCCAUAAGAGAUACAUUGGCAAUAAAACAUUUAUCGUGCAGAAAUAGAUACAUAGAUUGAUUGAAUAAUAAACAGUAAUGGAUUUGGGGUUUCCAGCACACAUUUUAUAUUCCCAAGGCAAAAAACUGAGUAGUGUUAUGAAAGAAAAGCCUAGCCUAUGCUGUCAUAAAACUUUCUAGAACUUGGACUCAAAAAUCAACCAAUCUAAAUACUGGUUUUAGUCAAAUUAGUGUUUUGUUCACAAAUUUUUAGUCCGAGAUUACUCUGACGUCCAACGGCUGUUUUGCCAGACAAGCUUGGGCCGUGCGACGUCAGAGCUCGUCCCAUAUCAAAAAGUGGGUAUUUGCCCACCCAAAAUAGAUGCGCUGCUUCGUCGCUUCUGAUGCCAACUGACGGCCUUGGAAUUAUAUAAAUUGGGCAUCAAUCUAUAUAUUCAUUCUGUAUUCUGUAUUCUGUAGGUGUCGCUGUUGACACUGGAUUGUCUCCCUUGUAAUUAUUUAAAUCUCGCGUGUAUUUAUAUUUCACUCUGGUAAACAACUCACUUGUACUUUAAAAUACAUACUAUUAGGUGGCAACUGUGCUUAACAUAUUUUUCCAAAAAUUAAAAAAUAUAUCUACAUUUAUUAAUUUACAUGAAAAUUUAAAGGAAAAGAAAGAAAAAAAAUCAAGAAAAAAAAAUAAAAAAAAUCUAACAUUACUUUUAUCAAACCGGCGCGACUCGCAAAUAAAGUCACCCAACAAUCGCAUUAGUGUUUCAUUAGAGACGGAGACAUUGUCGUUUUUUUCUAUUGACAAUAAAAGUUCCAAAUCAAUAUGUAACGAUCCUGUGUUGAAGUAUAUCUCAUGUAUAAGUUUCUGUCUUGCCUCUUCAUAAUUUUCACAAAAUAGUAAAUAGUGUUCCACAGUUUCUAAUUGACCGCAUUCACACUUUGGGUCUAUAUUUUGAUUGAUUUUGUUUUGAUAAUUUUUUAGGUAGUAUCCGGAUCUUAAAUUUCUAAUAAUUUUUGCUGUUUUGUGAUCUGGAUAAUCAAAUGUCGAUUUAUUGCUGACAGUCUGAUGAAAGUUAUAAUAAAAUCUUCCUGUAUCACUAUUAUCCCAUCUAUGUUGCCACUUUUUAUUUACUAAAAUUCUUGCUGCUGUUUUAAUAUCUUGUUUAGUUACUGUAAUAUGGGCUUCUUUCUGAAUUUGAUUUGCCUCUUUAGCUGCCUCUUUAGCUAGUUUAUCAGCUAUUUCAUUUCCUCUAACAUCUGCAUGUCCAGGGGUCCAAUCAAAAUUAAUUCUUAUUCCAUGGUGUUUUUGGAUACAUUUAAUAAGGGAAAUAAUUUCAUGUGAAGUGGAUCUGUUAUUUUCAAUUUUCCAAUUUAAUGUUAAAAUUCCAAUUGCUGUUUGACUGUCCGAAAAUAUUUUUACUUCUUCAAUUAAUGUUUUGUUUUCAAUUCUGCUUACAUAAUCUAAUACUAAUUUUAUUGCAACCAGCUCUGCCAAAAGAAUUGAACCCCUUUUUGAAACUGGUUGUUUAAGUUCAAUUUCUUUAUUGUUGAAGAUUACAAUUGCACCUGCUCCACAAGGUCCUGGGUUGGAUUGGCAAGAACCGUCUGUAAAAGCAACAACUGUUGAUGGAGAUACUGUGUUAAGUUUGUUUAAUAUUAAAUUUUUUCCUGUGAAUUUUUGUUCUUUAGUUCUGUUUUUUGAGGAACCAAGAGUACGCCAAUAUUCUGGUGGAGAUUUUGAUGCUUGUAGACCUUGAAAUUGAUAUUCUGGUUCUAUGUCAUCAAUACUGAUAUCUGUUUCUUCUUUCAUGUUUUUUGCUUGUUGUAACAUUAAGCCUAAAGGUGAUAUGAACUUGUCCACUGUUUCUUUGUUUUUCCAUUCAUCUAUUUUGUUUCUGAUAGGGAUUUUGGUUGAAUAUGAAUUUAGUCUUGCAAUAUCUCUAAUAGCCAUUUCUUCUCUUCUAAGAUCUAAUGGCAAAACUCCUGCCAUAUUCAUUUAAGAACCAGAAUGAAAAAAAAACAAGUAUGGCAGGUCUACGACUAGCGUCGAAUAUACAAACACAUAAUUUUUUUGUAUUUUUGCCUGAAACAAGUAUGAAUUAAAUAUGUUUUACUUCUAGUCAUUUCUAAUUUCCUUAACAGUUUAUUCAGAUAAUUAAAGAAAGAUGGCGGUUCCAGCUAAGAUUGUUCUGAAGAGUACCACUAAGAUGUCUUUGAAUGAUAGGUGAGGAGAUGGAGGAGGAGCAUGUUCCUGGCAGAGAUUGCCUGGAAAAGUUGGAAGGAAAGAAAUUUAGAGAGAAUUUUUUCUCUAUCUGUCAUUUCUCUAAUGACCAAAGGUCAUUUCUAUUGACCAAAGGUCAUUUCUAUUGACCAGAAGUCUUCUCUGUGGCUUGAUGCCUUUUUUCAAGGCUAGUGCAAAAGAGAAUGACAACAAAAAGCUAUGCAAGCCAAAAUGAAACAAUGCCACUGCACAAAUGUGCAAUUGGGGUCAAAACCUGAUUUUGCCACUUAAUAUGUUAAAUGAAUCAGAUUGCAUGCUUGCAUGCUAGUCUAACAAUACACAUGUUUUACAUGUAUGGUUAAAGUAACUAGUCCUAUCCUGUUGGCCACAGGUGAAAAAGGACAAAAACUAGAGUCAAAGAGGCUGAAAUUUGACAAGUGGCAGAAAUUUGACAAGUGGCAGAAAUUUGACAAGUGGCAAAACAGAAAGAGUUGCAAUACAUGGCAAGAAGUCUUGAGAGAAGCAAUAGUAAACCACAAGCACAGAGCAGUGCCAUUGGAUCAUGUGGAUAGCAAAAUAACAAAAAUCCAGUUACUAUACUGAACUUUUCUAUGCAUGCAUGUACAAGACUAGAUUUUCUAGAUUUGAAAAAGCUUCACUUUAGAUAUUUUCUUGCAUGUUUUUUUGCUAAAAGUUAAUGUCAUAUAUUAAAGUAAUAAUGGGUUAGAAAAAUCUGAUUUCCUAUUUUAAACUCAUAUAUAUAAAGUAUAGUCGAAAGCAAUA